AGCUUUGAGCAGUGGCAGUAUCGUAGCCAAUGAGGUUUAUCCAAGGCGCAAUUACUGCUAAUUGAAAAUAUCCCUUUGUGUAAUCAGAGCUUCAUGCUUCUAUUUCACUUGGUUCCAAGUGUGCAGUCACA
Non-coding RNA from Mustela putorius furo (domestic ferret), 131 nucleotides. The record is from Rfam. NCBI's taxonomy places the organism in Eukaryota, Metazoa, Chordata, Mammalia, Carnivora, Mustelidae.